GACGAACGCUGGCGGCGUGCUUAACACAUGCAAGUCGAACGGAAAGGCCCUGCUUUUGUGGGGUGCUCGAGUGGCGAACGGGUGAGUAACACGUGAGUAACCUGCCCUUGACUUUGGGAUAACUUCAGGAAACUGGGGCUAAUACCGGAUAUGAGCUCCUGCUGCAUGGUGGGGGUUGGAAAGUUUCGGCGGUUGGGGAUGGACUCGCGGCUUAUCAGCUUGUUGGUGGGGUAGUGGCUUACCAAGGCUUUGACGGGUAGCCGGCCUGCGCGGGUGACCGGCCACAUUGGGACUGAGAUACGGCCCAGACUCCAACGGGAGGCAGCAGUGGGGAAUAUUGCACAAUGGGCGGAAGCCUGAUGCAGCAACGCCGCGUGCGGGAUGACGGCCUUCGGGUUGUAAACAGCUUUCGACUGUGACGAAGCGUGAGUGACGGUAAUGGGUAAAGAAGCACCGGCUAACUACGUG
Molecule: ribosomal RNA, 468 nt
Filed under: uncultured bacterium
Lineage: Bacteria
Description: partial 16S ribosomal RNA
Rfam family: Bacterial small subunit ribosomal RNA
Source: RNAcentral